GCAGGUGGGCUUUUCUCUCCAGAGCACCAACUGAAACAGACAGAAUGAACAGAGCACGAGGACUGUGUUUCACUUUACUACUACUGGGGUGUGUACAUGGGAGCAAGUCUUCUCAAAGAGAAGUGGUAUUCAGUAGAGGGAUCCAACUCUUUAUUGAAGGUUUGAGCCCUUCUAAUCCCUCUGUAGUAAUCCUCUCCUCAUUUGGGGACAAACCUGGUGCCUCACCUACACUGGUGUGUAUACUCAGUGGUUUAAAAACACACCAUUUGUUGGACAUCAUUUGGUGGAUCAAUGACACAGUGGUAACCCCUGAGAACAAUGCCAUUUUGAGAUCCAGGGGAAGUGAUGGCACGUACACAACUACCGGACUGUGGACUAUGUCUGGAAAGGACUGGAAUAUCUAUAGUAACUAUGAGUGUGGAACCAGACAUGAAGGAAAGCAUUAUAGAAAUGGUACACAGCCCUCGCUUUGCAUGGAUUUUACUUGAUUACAAAUAUUUGUUAACCUAUCAAAAAUUAUCCUUAGCAUUUCAUGUACAAUCUUUACUAUUAUUAAAGUAUUCAUGAUGUUUCUUGAGUAUUUUAGUGAAAAAGCAGGUUGCAAGUUCAAAUCCCUGAGCUGACAUGGUACAAAUCUGUUGUUCUGCCAUUGAACAGGCAGUUUACCCACCGUUCCUAGGCUGUCACUGAAAAUAAGAAUUUGUUCUUAACUGACUUGCUUAGUUAAAGAAAAAAAUACAAAAAAAUAAAUAAAGAUUAUAUUUCUGGUUGCCAUUACCAUAUGUUGACAAUAGAGGGAGCUCACUGCCUGCAGUUGAAGGGGUUGUAGUGUUUGUGUUGAGUGGUGGUAAGUUCAUAUGCGUGGCAUCUGUUUCACAAACUCACUGAUUUCAACUGAGACAAUGCUGCUCUUGUUCCUGGAUGUAUCUCUCAACAACAAGCUGUUAUACAAAUGGUCAUAUGCACAAAGCUGAAUACUCUAGUUUAUGUUCCAAACAACAAUUGUGUUUCUGUCAGCCCUCUAAAAAUAUUUUUACAUAAUUUAUAACUUCAUAAUAUCAUCAAUAAAAUAUAAAAAUAAUUAACUGCACUGCACUUUCACAUACAAACUCACAACCACUUCUUUAUUUUGUCCUGGUCAUGCAUGCGUUUGCUUAUAUUCUUGGGGCCACUGGUUGCUGUCUGAUUCCUGUGAAGAAUUAACCAUAACAACCCAAUUGCCAUUAUCAGCCAAUGAAAUUGCUGUUGGAGCUCAGCUAACUGCUUGCUGUGUGAGUAAAUUCAGCAGAUUUGGGACACUUGUUGAAGAAACCUUGGAGAUAUGAGGAAUUUCUGAAUGGGAGAUGGGAUGGGAAAACGUUUACGUCCUGAGUGUGUGUCUGUGAGCUGUUUCCAAUUUGAAAGGCAACGUGCUUUGGGAGUACACCCAGAAAAAAGUUUUAUCUAG
Molecule: long non-coding RNA, 1447 nt
Organism: Oncorhynchus masou masou (cherry salmon)
Lineage: Eukaryota; Metazoa; Chordata; Actinopteri; Salmoniformes; Salmonidae
Exons: 3
Source: RefSeq, a predicted model, not a curated record